RNAcentral lists this long non-coding RNA (398 nucleotides) under Mytilus galloprovincialis (Mediterranean mussel). The record is from RNAcentral. Lineage: Eukaryota; Metazoa; Mollusca; Bivalvia; Mytilida; Mytilidae.
CGUGGUAUAGUCGUAGUGGAAGCGUAGUUUGGUCGCGGUGAGAACGUGAUGGUCGUAGUGAGGUCGUAAUAACGUCGCAAUGAGAUCGUAGCGCAGUUUCUCCGAAUAUAAUCACGCUUUCGCUACGCUCUCACUACGAUGGUACAACGACCUUUGCGAUCUUACUACGAUCUUAGUGCGCUCUCACUACGCUUCUACUACGACCUGAUUUCGCCACGACCGCACCACGAUUGUUUUGAACAUGUUCAAAGUUUGCCACGCUCAUCACGAUCUUGAAGACCUCACCACGACCGUGAUACGACCUUACUGCGAUCUACACGAUCGUACUACGAUCAUUAAAAUUUGCAUUUUUUUCACAGAUCGUAGUGCGAUCGUGGCCUAGUGGGACUGGGGUAUUA